This 339-nucleotide RNase P RNA is filed under the name human gut metagenome. RNAcentral describes it as "Bacterial RNase P class A". It matches the Rfam family "Bacterial RNase P class A". From Rfam's summary of the family: Ribonuclease P (RNase P) is a ubiquitous endoribonuclease, found in archaea, bacteria and eukarya as well as chloroplasts and mitochondria. Its best characterised activity is the generation of mature 5'-ends of tRNAs by cleaving the 5'-leader elements of precursor-tRNAs. The record is from RNAcentral.
AAAUUGAAUAGUCGCUGGUAAAUUCCGAAAGGAACUACGAGAGGAAAGUCCGGGCUCCAUAGAGCAAAGAUGCUAGAUAACGUCUAGUGGGGGCAACCCUAAGGAAAGUGCAACAGAAAAAAACCGCCAUUAUAAGGCAAGGAUGAAAAGGCGAGGUAAGAGCUCACCGCUGUUAUGGUGACAUAACAGGUCAGUGUAAACCCCAUCUGGAGCAACACCUAAGUAGAAGAUUAAGCCUGCUCGGCGCCUUCUUAAUUGCGUGGCUUGAGAUUAUUAGCAAUAAUAAUCCUAGAUAAAUGGCUAUUUUAAAAGACAGAACCCGGCUUACAGAUUUACUCU